CUCGUGUAAGUAUUGGUGGACCCU
Molecule: non-coding RNA, 24 nt
Filed under: Cricetulus griseus (Chinese hamster)
Lineage: Eukaryota; Metazoa; Chordata; Mammalia; Rodentia; Cricetidae
Source: RNAcentral